Molecule: ribosomal RNA, 411 nt
Filed under: uncultured eukaryote
Lineage: Eukaryota
Description: SSU rRNA
Rfam family: Eukaryotic small subunit ribosomal RNA
Source: RNAcentral
CCAGCAGCUGCGGUAAUUCCAGCUCUAAUAGCGUAUAUUAAAGUUGUUGCAGUUAAAAAGCUCGUAGUCGGAUGUCGGGCUCGGGGAGGCUGUCGGCCUUUGGUCGGAUGGCAUGUCCGGGCCUUUCUGCCUGCGGACUACACCUCCUUAACCGGUGGUGCUAGGACACAGGCCGUUUACUUUGAAAAAAUCAGAUCGUUCAAAGAAGGCUAAGCUCGAAUAUGUUAGCAUGGAAUAAUGGAAUAGGACUUGGGUUCUAUUUUGUUGGUCAAUGGAUCCUAAGUAAUGAUUAAUAGGGACAGUUGGGGCCGUUUAUAUUUCGUUGUCAGAGGUGAAAUUCUUGGAUUUACGAAAGAUAAACUUCUGCGAAAGCAUUCGGCAAGGAUGUUUUCAUUGAUCAAGAACGAAAGU